Molecule: long non-coding RNA, 3031 nt
Filed under: Ixodes scapularis (black-legged tick)
Lineage: Eukaryota; Metazoa; Arthropoda; Arachnida; Ixodida; Ixodidae
Description: uncharacterized LOC121834394, transcript variant X2
Source: RNAcentral
ACCUUUUUCAACUAGAGCCUAGAAUUACAACUCUUUAAUUAAAACCGACCGAAUCUAAAAACAAAAAUAUCUAUUGUACCCUUUGUUGAAAUGACAACACUUUUCUUUUCUAUUCCAGAAAUCCUCUCUCUGCCGCUAGUCCCUACCUCAGUCGCCCAACUUCACAAACGGCCGCCCAAAUCCACGUCUGUGUGUGCGCUUCGUUGCGAGUCAAGAGAAGAGGGUGCGCGGGCGAGCUGGUGAAUGUUAACAACGUUGAAAUAGCCCGAGACUGGGGUAGAGAAGAAGCUUGAAAUAGUAGAAGGGACAGAAAAUGUCUAUUUUCUGUCCCUUCUACGAUUUGAUGCUUCUACCCCAGUCUCGGGUGAUUUCAAAACGGCCGUGCCCCGUCUCAACGUGGACGCUUCCGUGAACGUGUGUGUGUGUGUGCACUUUCCUGGUGAACUUUGGAUUACUCUGGACUUUGGAUAACAUCUGGACCGCUAGACACCAUGCAAGGAAAGAAAUCCUCUCUCUGCCGCUAGUCCCUACCUCAGUCGCCCAACUUCACAAACGGCCGCCCAAAUCCACGUCUGUGUGUGCGCUUCGUUGCGAGUCAAGAGAAGAGGGUGCGCGGGCGAGCUGGUGAAUGUUAACAACGUUGAAAUAGCCCGAGACUGGGGUAGAGAAGAAGCUUGAAAUAGUAGAAGGGACAGAAAAUGUCUAUUUUCUGUCCCUUCUACGAUUUGAUGCUUCUACCCCAGUCUCGGGUGAUUUCAAAACGGCCGUGCCCCGUCUCAACGUGGACGCUUCCGUGAACGUGUGUGUGUGUGUGCACUUUCCUGGUGAACUUUGGAUUACUCUGGACUUUGGAUAACAUCUGGACCGCUAGACACCAUGCAAGGAAAGAAAUCCUCUCUCUGCCGCUAGUCCCUACCUCAGUCGCCCAACUUCACAAACGGCCGCCCAAAUCCACGUCUGUGUGUGCGCUUCGUUGCGAGUCAAGAGAAGAGGGUGCGCGGGCGAGCUGGUGAAUGUUAACAACGUUGAAAUAGCCCGAGACUGGGGUAGAGAAGAAGCUUGAAAUAGUAGAAGGGACAGAAAAUGUCUAUUUUCUGUCCCUUCUACGAUUUGAUGCUUCUACCCCAGUCUCGGGUGAUUUCAAAACGGCCGUGCCCCGUCUCAACGUGGACGCUUCCGUGAACGUGUGUGUGUGUGUGCACUUUCCUGGUGAACUUUGGAUUACUCUGGACUUUGGAUAACAUCUGGACCGCUAGACACCAUGCAAGGAAAGAAAUCCUCUCUCUGCCGCUAGUCCCUACCUCAGUCGCCCAACUUCACAAACGGCCGCCCAAAUCCACGUCUGUGUGUGCGCUUCGUUGCGAGUCAAGAGAAGAGGGUGCGCGGGCGAGCUGGUGAAUGUUAACAACGUUGAAAUAGCCCGAGACUGGGGUAGAGAAGAAGCUUGAAAUAGUAGAAGGGACAGAAAAUGUCUAUUUUCUGUCCCUUCUACGAUUUGAUGCUUCUACCCCAGUCUCGGGUGAUUUCAAAACGGCCGUGCCCCGUCUCAACGUGGACGCUUCCGUGAACGUGUGUGUGUGUGUGCACUUUCCUGGUGAACUUUGGAUUACUCUGGACUUUGGAUAACAUCUGGACCGCUAGACACCAUGCAAGGAAAGAAAUCCUCUCUCUGCCGCUAGUCCCUACCUCAGUCGCCCAACUUCACAAACGGCCGCCCAAAUCCACGUCUGUGUGUGCGCUUCGUUGCGAGUCAAGAGAAGAGGGUGCGCGGGCGAGCUGGUGAAUGUUAACAACGUUGAAAUAGCCCGAGACUGGGGUAGAGAAGAAGCUUGAAAUAGUAGAAGGGACAGAAAAUGUCUAUUUUCUGUCCCUUCUACGAUUUGAUGCUUCUACCCCAGUCUCGGGUGAUUUCAAAACGGCCGUGCCCCGUCUCAACGUGGACGCUUCCGUGAACGUGUGUGUGUGUGUGCACUUUCCUGGUGAACUUUGGAUUACUCUGGACUUUGGAUAACAUCUGGACCGCUAGACACCAUGCAAGGAAAGAAAUCCUCUCUCUGCCGCUAGUCCCUACCUCAGUCGCCCAACUUCACAAACGGCCGCCCAAAUCCACGUCUGUGUGUGCGCUUCGUUGCGAGUCAAGAGAAGAGGGUGCGCGGGCGAGCUGGUGAAUGUUAACAACGUUGAAAUAGCCCGAGACUGGGGUAGAGAAGAAGCUUGAAAUAGUAGAAGGGACAGAAAAUGUCUAUUUUCUGUCCCUUCUACGAUUUGAUGCUUCUACCCCAGUCUCGGGUGAUUUCAAAACGGCCGUGCCCCGUCUCAACGUGGACGCUUCCGUGAACGUGUGUGUGUGUGUGCACUUUCCUGGUGAACUUUGGAUUACUCUGGACUUUGGAUAACAUCUGGACCGCUAGACACCAUGCAAGGAAAGAAAUCCUCUCUCUGCCGCUAGUCCCUACCUCAGUCGCCCAACUUCACAAACGGCCGCCCAAAUCCACGUCUGUGUGUGCGCUUCGUUGCGAGUCAAGAGAAGAGGGUGCGCGGGCGAGCUGGUGAAUGUUAACAACGUUGAAAUAGCCCGAGACUGGGGUAGAGAAGAAGCUUGAAAUAGUAGAAGGGACAGAAAAUGUCUAUUUUCUGUCCCUUCUACGAUUUGAUGCUUCUACCCCAGUCUCGGGUGAUUUCAAAACGGCCGUGCCCCGUCUCAACGUGGACGCUUCCGUGAACGUGUGUGUGUGUGUGCACUUUCCUGGUGAACUUUGGAUUACUCUGGACUUUGGAUAACAUCUGGACCGCUAGACACCAUGCAAGGAAAGGUAUUUGAGAAUGCUUCUAUCUCUCUCUCUCGUGGUUUGAAUAGGAGUCCGGACUAUAAAGCGCUCGGCCGCGCUUCGAAAUCUCUUCUUCGCGUAACAAAUAUUGAUUAAAAAAAAAAGUAUUCGCUUCUAAAAUUUCUCUUAUUCCCAGCGUCAUGUACACGCAUUUCUUGCGUGGAACAACGAAUGAAUAACUGCUAUGUGCGUUUAAUUCGAUC